AGUGCUUGCACUAAAUGAAACUAGAUACAAGCGAGCGGCGGACGGGUGAGUAACACGUGGGUAACCUGCCCAAGAGACUGGGAUAACACCUGGAAACAGAUGCUAAUACCGGAUAACAACACUAGACGCAUGUCUAGAGUUUGAAAGAUGGUUCUGCUAUCACUCUUGGAUGGACCUGCGGUGCAUUAGCUAGUUGGUAAGGUAACGGCUUACCAAGGCAAUGAUGCAUAGCCGAGUUGAGAGACUGAUCGGCCACAUUGGGACUGAGACACGGCCCAAACUCCUACGGGAGGCAGCAGUAGGGAAUCUUCCACAAUGGACGAAAGUCUGAUGGAGCAACGCCGCGUGAGUGAAGAAGGGUUUCGGCUCGUAAAGCUCUGUUGGUAGUGAAGAAAGAUAGAGGUAGUAACUGGCCUUUAUUUGACGGUAAUUACUUAGAAAGUCACGGCUAACUACGUGCCAGCAGCCGCGGUAAUACGUAGGUGGCAAGCGUUGUCCGGAUUUAUUGGGCGUAAAGCGAGUGCAGGCGGUUCAAUAAGUCUGAUGUGAAAGCCUUCGGCUCAACCGGAGAAUUGCAUCAGAAACUGUUGAACUUGAGUGCAGAAGAGGAGAGUGGAACUCCAUGUGUAGCGGUGGAAUGCGUAGAUAUAUGGAAGAACACCAGUGGCGAAGGCGGCUCUCUGGUCUACAACUGACGCUGAGGCUCGAAAGCAUGGGUAGCGAACAGGAUUAGAUACCCUGGUAGUCCAUGCCGUAAACGAUGAGUGCUAAUUGUUGGGAGGUUUUCCGCCUCUCA
RNAcentral lists this ribosomal RNA (796 nucleotides) under uncultured bacterium. RNAcentral describes it as "bacterial SSU rRNA". It matches the Rfam family "Bacterial small subunit ribosomal RNA", at positions 75 to 842 of the family's 1533-position model. The record is from RNAcentral.